This 309-nucleotide unclassified non-coding RNA is filed under the name plant metagenome. RNAcentral's name for it is "partial contains 5.8S ribosomal RNA, internal transcribed spacer 2, and large subunit ribosomal RNA". The stretch from base 1 to 105 matches the Rfam family "5.8S ribosomal RNA", at positions 50 to 154 of the family's 154-position model. The record is from RNAcentral.
GAAAUGCGAUAAGUAGUGUGAAUUGCAGAAUUCAGUGAAUCAUCGAAUCUUUGAACGCACAUUGCGCCCCUUGGUAUUCCAUGGGGCAUGCCUGUUCGAGCGUCAUUUGUACCCUCAAGCUCUGCUUGGUGUUGGGUGUUUGUCCCGUCUCCGCGCGUGGACUCGCCCCAAAGUGAUUGGCAGCCGGCGUACUGGUCCCGGAGCGCAGCACAUGUCGCGCAAACGAGUGCCUUGGUACGGUGGCGUCCAUAAGCCCCACUCUCACGCUCUUGACCUCGGAUCAGGUAGGGAUACCCGCUGAACUUAAGC